GACGAACGCUGGCGGCGUGCUUAACACAUGCAAGUCGAACGGAAAGGCCCUGCUUUUGUGGGGUGCUCGAUUGGCGAACGGGUGAGUAACACGUGAGUAACCUGCCCUUGACUUUGGGAUAACUUCAGGAAACUGGGGCUAAUACCGGAUAGGAGCUCCUGCUGCAUGGUGGGGGUUGGAAAGUUUCGGCGGUUGGGGAUGGACUCGCGGCUUAUCAGCUUGUUGGUGGGGUAGUGGCUUACCAAGGCUUUGACGGGUAGCCGGCCUGAGAGGGUGACCGGCCACAUUGGGACUGAGAUACGGCGCAGACUGCUACGGGAGGCAGCAGUGGGGAAUAUUGCACAAUGGGCGGAAGCCUGAUGCAGCAACGCCGCGUGCGGGAUGACGGCCUUCGGGUUGUAAACCGCUUUCGCCUGUGACGAAGCGUGAGUGACGGUAAUGGGUAAAGAAGCACCGGCUAACUACGUG
RNAcentral lists this ribosomal RNA (468 nucleotides) under uncultured bacterium. Its description in RNAcentral is "partial 16S ribosomal RNA". It matches the Rfam family "Bacterial small subunit ribosomal RNA", at positions 28 to 507 of the family's 1533-position model. The record is from RNAcentral.